GAAACAGAGAGAGAGAGAGAGAGAGGGAGGGUGAGAAACAGAGAGAGAGAGGGUGAGAAACAGAGAGAGAGACAGAGAGGGAGGGUGAGAAACAGGGAGAGAGAGAGGGUGAGAAAGAGAGAGAGAGAGGGGAGGGGAGAAACAGAGAGAGAGAGAGAGAGAGAGGGAGGGUGAGAAACGUGAGAAACAGAGAGAGAGAAGGGGUGAGAAACAGAGAGAGAGAGGGGGUGAGAAACAGAGAGAGAGAGAGAGAGAGAGAGAGGGAGGGUGAGAAACAGAGAGAGAGAGAGAGAGGGUUAGAAACAGAGAGAGAGAGAGGGUGAGAAACAGAGAGAGAGAGAGGGUGAGAAACAGACAGAGAGAGGGUGAGAAGGGAGG
Molecule: long non-coding RNA, 378 nt
Organism: Oncorhynchus tshawytscha (Chinook salmon)
Lineage: Eukaryota; Metazoa; Chordata; Actinopteri; Salmoniformes; Salmonidae
Source: Ensembl